CGAAUAAUAGGUGAUGGUGUUCACCUUUAACCAUUUAUCACAGAUAAAUUAAUGACGCCUACUAAAAG
This 68-nucleotide non-coding RNA is filed under the name Enterococcus phoeniculicola. Its description in RNAcentral is "Fluoride sequence". It matches the Rfam family "Fluoride riboswitch aptamer (crcB RNA motif)". Lineage: Bacteria; Bacillati; Bacillota; Bacilli; Lactobacillales; Enterococcaceae. The record is from RNAcentral. RNAcentral also lists the same sequence under 1 other name.